CUCAGUAACGGCGAGUGAAGCGGCAACAGCUCAAAUUUGAAAUCUGGCCCCAGGCCCGAGUUGUAAUUUGCAGAGGAUGCUUUUGGUGCGGUGCCUUCCAAGUUCCCUAGAACGGGACGCCAGAGAGGGUGAGAGCCCCGUACAGUUGGACACCAAGCCUUUGUAAAGCUCCUUCGACGAGUCGAGUAGUUUGGGAAUGCUGCUCAAAAUGGGAGGUAUAUUUCUUCUAAAGCUAAAUACCGGCCAGAGACCGAUAGCGCACAAGUAGAGUGAUCGAAAGAUGAAAAGCACUUUGAAAAGAGGGUUAAACAGCACGUGAAAUUGUUAAAAGGGAAGCGCUUGUGACCAGACUUGCGUCCGGUGAAUCACCCAGCUCUCGCGGCUGGGGCACUUCGCCGGCUCAGGCCAGCAUCAGCUCGCUGUCGGGGACAAAAGCUUCAGGAACGUAGCUCUCUUCGGGGAGUGUUAUAGCCUGUUGCACAAUACCCUUCGGCGGGCUGAGGUACGCGCUCCGCAAGGAUGCUGGCAUAAUGGUCAUCAGCGACCCGUCUUGAAACACGGACCAAGGAGUCAACCUUAUGUGCGAGUGUUCGGGUGUCAAACCCCUACGCGUAAUGAAAGUGAACGCAGGUGAGAGCUUCGGCGCAUCAUCGACCGAUCCUGAUGUUCUCGGAUGGAUUUGAGUAAGAGCAUAUAGGGUUGGACCCGAAAGAAGGUGAACUAUGCGUGUAUAGGGUGAAGCCAGAGGAAACUCUGGUGGAGGCUCGCAGCGGUUCUGACGUGCAAAUCGAUCGUCAAAUAUGCGCAUGGGGGCGAAAGACUAAUCGAACCUUCUAGUA
This 839-nucleotide ribosomal RNA is filed under the name Colletotrichum gloeosporioides. RNAcentral describes it as "eukaryotic LSU rRNA". It matches the Rfam family "Eukaryotic large subunit ribosomal RNA", at positions 79 to 949 of the family's 3401-position model. The record is from RNAcentral. Lineage: Eukaryota; Fungi; Ascomycota; Sordariomycetes; Glomerellales; Glomerellaceae.